This 1155-nucleotide ribosomal RNA is filed under the name Bacillus licheniformis. Its description in RNAcentral is "bacterial SSU rRNA". It matches the Rfam family "Bacterial small subunit ribosomal RNA", at positions 119 to 1258 of the family's 1533-position model. The record is from RNAcentral. Lineage: Bacteria; Bacillati; Bacillota; Bacilli; Caryophanales; Bacillaceae.
GGGUAACCUGCCUGUAAGACUGGGAUAACUCCGGGAAACCGGGGCUAAUACCGGAUGCUUGAUUGAACCGCAUGGUUCAAUCAUAAAAGGGGGCUUUUAGCUACCACUUACAGAUGGACCCGCGGCGCAAUAGCUAGUUGGUGAGGUAACGGCUCACCAAGGCGACCAUUCGUAGCCCACCUGAGAGGGUGAUCGGCCACACUGGGACUGAGACACGGCCCAGACUCCUACGGGAGGCAGCAGUAGGGAAUCUUCCGCAAUGGACGAAAGUCUGACGGAACAACGCCCCGUGAGUGAUGAAGGGUUUCGGAUCGUAAAACUCUGUUGUUAGGGAAGAACAAGUACCGUUCGAAUAGGGCGGUACCUUGACGGUACCUAACCAGAAAGCCACGGCUAACUACGUGCCCAGCAGCCGCGGUAAUACGUAGGUGGCAAGCGUUGUCCGGAAUUAUUGGGCGUAAAGCGCGCGCAGGCGGUUUCUUAAGUCUGAUGUGAAAGCCCCCGGCUCAACCGGGGAGGGUCAUUGGAAACUGGGGAACUUGAGUGCAGAAGAGGAGAGUGGAAUUCCACGUGUAGCGGUGAAAUGCGUAGAGAUGUGGAGGAACACCAGUGGCGAAGGCGACUCUCUGGUCUGUAACUGACGCUGAGGCGCGAAAGCGUGGGGAGCGAACAGGAUUAGAUACCCUGGUAGUCCACGCCGUAAACGAUGAGUGCUAAGUGUUAGAGGGUUUCCGCCCUUUAGUGCUGCAGCAAACGCAUUAAGCACUCCGCCUGGGGAGUACGGUCGCAAGACUGAAACUCAAAGGAAUUGACGGGGGCCCGCACAAGCGGUGGAGCAUGUGGUUUAAUUCGAAGCAACGCGAAGAACCUUACCAGGUCUUGACAUCCUCUGACAACCCUAGAGAUAGGGCUUCCCCUUCGGGGGCAGAGUGACAGGUGGUGCAUGGUGGUCGUCAGCUCGUGUCGUGAGAUGUUGGGUUAAGUCCCGCAACGAGCGCAACCCUUGAUCUUAGUUGCCAGCAUUCAGUUGGGCACUCUAAGGUGACUGCCGGUGACAAACCGGAGGAAGGUGGGGAUGACGUCAAAUCAUCAUGCCCCUUAUGACCUGGGCUACACACGUGCUACAAUGGGCAGAACAAAGGGCAGCGAAGCCGC